GGAUCUGAGGGGGGUCUGGCUGCGACAUCUGUCACCCCACUGAUCACCAGGGUUGAUUUGGCUGAUCUGGCCGGCUAGGCGGGUGUCCCCUUCCGCCCUCACUGCUCUAUGUGCGUCCCUCCCAAAGCUGCGUGCUCGGUUGAAGAGGACGGCCUUUCCGAAAAGAGCGGGAUGAGUCUUCGGUCGAGGAUAUAGAGGAUCUGCGCUCCCUGCUAGAACCUCCAAACAAGCUCUCAAUGUGGGGUUGCCCUGGAGUCUGCUCACUCAGCACUGCAGAGAACUUAGUGUCU
Molecule: small nuclear RNA, 290 nt
Filed under: Erinaceus europaeus (western European hedgehog)
Lineage: Eukaryota; Metazoa; Chordata; Mammalia; Eulipotyphla; Erinaceidae
Description: 7SK RNA (ENSEEUG00000021580.1)
Rfam family: 7SK RNA
About the family: 7SK was discovered as an abundant small nuclear RNA in the mid-70s but a possible function has only recently been suggested. Two independent studies have found that 7SK RNA binds the CDK9/cyclin T complex (known as elongation factor P-TEFb). P-TEFb activates transcription by phosphorylating the C-terminal domain of RNA polymerase II.
Source: Rfam by way of RNAcentral